This 403-nucleotide ribosomal RNA is filed under the name uncultured bacterium. Its description in RNAcentral is "bacterial SSU rRNA". It matches the Rfam family "Bacterial small subunit ribosomal RNA", at positions 355 to 775 of the family's 1533-position model. The record is from RNAcentral.
UAGGGAAUAUUAGAAAUGGACGAAAGUCUGAUCUAGCAACACCGCGUGUGCGAAGAAGGCCUUCGGGUCGUAAAGCACUUUUUGGAAGGAAUAGGUAGGAAUGUACUUCCAGAAUAAGUCUCGGCUAACUACGUGCCAGCAGCCGCGGUAACACGUAGGAGGCAAACGUUAUCCGGAUUUACUGGGCGUAAAGCGCGUGUAGGUGGUACUGUAAGUAGGGCGUGAAAGCUCCUGGCUCAACUGGGAGAGGCCGUUCUAAACUACAGAACUAGAGGAUGGUAGAGGGAGGUGGAAUUCCAGGUGUAGCGGUGGAAUGCGCGGAUAUCUGGAGGAACACCAGUGGCGAAGGCGGCCUCCUGGACCAUUCCUGACACUCAGACGCGAAAGCUAGGGUAGCAAACGG